Molecule: ribosomal RNA, 254 nt
Filed under: uncultured bacterium
Lineage: Bacteria
Description: partial 16S ribosomal RNA
Rfam family: Bacterial small subunit ribosomal RNA
Source: RNAcentral
UACGAAGGGGGGCUAGCGUUGUUCGGAUUUACUGGGCGUAAAGCGCACGUAGGCGGAUCUUUAAGUCAGAGGUGAAAUCCCAAGGCUCAACCUUGGAACUGCCUUUGAUACUGGGGAUCUUGAGUCCGGGAGAGGUGAGUGGAACUGCGAGUGUAGAGGUGAAAUUCGUAGAUAUUAGGAAGAACACCAGUGGCGAAGGCGGCUCACUGGUCCGGUACUGACGCUGAGGUGCGAAAGCGUGGGGAGCAAACAGG